ACGUAGGUGGCAAGCGUUAUCCGGAUUUACUGGGCGUAAAGCGUACGUAGGCGGCGCCAUCAGUCUGUCGUGAAAUCUCCCGGCUCAACCGGGAGCGGCCGAUGGAAACUGUGACGCUCGAGGGGCGUAGAGGCAAGCGGAAUUCCCGGAGUAGUGGUGGAAUGCGUAGAUACCGGGAGGAACACCAGUGGCGCAAGCGGCUUGCCAGACGCAUCCUGACGCUGAGGUACGAAAGCGUGGGUAGCGAACCGG
Molecule: ribosomal RNA, 252 nt
Filed under: uncultured bacterium
Lineage: Bacteria
Description: partial 16S ribosomal RNA
Rfam family: Bacterial small subunit ribosomal RNA
Source: RNAcentral